CGAGUGUGUCAUUGUCCCGAGAAAGCAGAGUAGCGCGCUUCUUGGCCGUUUCAGCAGAACGACUGGCUCCCUCCACCUGGACACGCCAACGCUCCGGGAGUGAUCUUCCCUGGGGACGCCGCCUGCACCGCAGGCGAAGCCCUUGGAGCCGUGUUUGCUGCUGUGAUCUGCCAACUUGCCGCUGCCGAAGCCCCGGCUGGUUGCACGUCUUCGUUUAUCCGUGGAUUAUUUCUGGAGUCCGUCUUGUAAAUGUUUAGCAUUUUGCUGAUUUACUGCUUCUUUCUGGGAGCGUUUCCAGCGCUUGCCGAGACCGGCGGAGAGAGGCGACUGAGCCCGGAGAAGAGCGAAAUAUGGGGACCAGGGCUAAAAGCACAUGUCGUCCUCCCCGCCCGCUAUUUCUAUGUUCAGGCGGUGGAUACAUCAGGGAAGAAAUUCACAUCUUCUCCAGGUGAAAAGGUUUUCCAGGUUAAAAUCUCAGCACCAGAUGAGCAGUUCACUAGAGUUGGAGUCCAGGUUUUAGACCGAAAGGAUGGGUCCUUCAUAGUAAGAUAUAGGAUGUAUGCAAGCUACAAAAAUCUGAAGAUAGAAGUUAAAUUCCAAGGUCAACAUGUGGCCAAAUCUCCAUAUAUUUUAAAAGGGCCAGUCUACCAUGAGAAUUGUGACUGUCCUUUGGAAGACAGUGCAGCCUGGCUUCAGGAGAUGAACUGCCCAGAGACCAUUACUCAGAUUCAGAGGGAUCUGGCACACUUCCCUACCGUUGAUCCGGAAAAGAUUGCAACUGAAAUCCCAAAAAGAUUUGGACAGAGGCAGAGCUUGUGUCACUACACCUUGAAGGAUAACAAGGUUUACAUCAAGACUCAUGGUGAACAUGUGGGGUUUAGAAUUUUCAUGGAUGCCAUACUACUUUCUUUGACUAGAAAGGUGAAGAUGCCAGACAUGGAGUUUUUUGUUAAUUUGGGAGACUGGCCUUUAGAAAAAAAGAAGUCCAAUUCAAACAUCCAUCCGAUCUUUUCCUGGUGUGGCUCCAUAGAUUCCAGGGAUAUUGUGAUGCCUACCUACGACCUGACUGACUCUGUCCUAGAAACCAUGGGCCGAGUAAGUCUGGAUAUGAUGUCUGUGCAAGCUAACACUGGUCCUCCCUGGGAAAGCAAAAACUCCACAGCUGUCUGGAGAGGGCGAGACAGCCGCAAAGAGAGACUCGAGCUGGUUAAACUCAGUAGAAAACACCCUGACCUCAUAGAUGCUGCUUUCACGAACUUUUUCUUCUUUAAACACGAUGAAAGCCUCUAUGGUCCCAUUGUGAAACACAUUUCAUUUUUUGAUUUCUUCAAGCAUAAGUAUCAAAUAAACAUUGAUGGCACUGUCGCGGCUUAUCGAAUGCCGUAUCUACUGGUCGGCGACAGUGUUGUGUUGAAGCAGGACUCUAUCUACUACGAGCACUUUUACAAUGAGCUGCAGGCCUGGACACACUACAUUCCAGUUAAAAGCAACCUGAGUGAUCUGCUAGAAAAACUUAAAUGGGCAAAAGAUCACGAUGAAGAGGCAAAGAAAAUAGCAAAAGCAGGACAAGAAUUUGCAAGAAAUAAUCUCAUGGGCAAUGACAUAUUCUGUUAUUAUUUCAAACUUUUCCAGGAAUAUGCCAGUUUACAAGUGAGUGAGCCCCAAAUCCGAGAGGGCAUGAAGAGGGUAGAACCACAAACCGAGGACGACCUCUUCCCUUGCACAUGCCACAGGAAAAAGUCAUUCAGUCAGGCAGCAAGUAUUUGAGUUCCUCUUGAGGCCUCCAAGCAAUUCAGUUUGCCAGAGAGACAGAUAUAGUAGACAAUAACAAUGCACAAGAAAGGGCGUUGAAAUGCAGUGAAAUGAGAAGACACAGUAGCUCCCUGGCAAAGACCAAAGAUGAACUCUGAUAUGCAAAAUACCUUCCAUUCAAAUAAUGGUGCUCUGAAGACGCUUCUUAACUGAAAAGAAGAGUGUUUUUUAAGUAUUAAUUCCAUGGACAAUAUAAAAUCCGCUGUGUGAUUGUUUAGAUUAUGAAGAUAUGUUUCUUCUUAAUAUGCAGUAUUCCCAUAACUGUUCUUUAAAGCACAUUUUUAGAAUUUUAUAAUAAAACCACCUUUAUUUU
Galeopterus variegatus (Sunda flying lemur) is the source of this 2125-nucleotide RNA transcript. It is a transcript of the gene named KDEL (Lys-Asp-Glu-Leu) containing 1, with no coding region annotated. The transcript is spliced from 11 exons. NCBI's taxonomy places the organism in Eukaryota, Metazoa, Chordata, Mammalia, Dermoptera, Cynocephalidae. The record is from RefSeq and is a predicted model, not a curated record.